Molecule: long non-coding RNA, 2417 nt
Organism: Gadus chalcogrammus (walleye pollock)
Lineage: Eukaryota; Metazoa; Chordata; Actinopteri; Gadiformes; Gadidae
Exons: 5
Source: RefSeq, a predicted model, not a curated record
CUCUUCCUGUGGCUGGGCCAGGCCCGCCCCCCCCGAGCUCAUCCAGGGGCUCUUCAACCUGCCCUCGCUCGCUCACCUGCAGCCCAACACGAUUGCAGAACAUGUGCAACAGCGCCCCCUGUGGUCACACAGAAUUCGGUGGGAUCCCGGUGUACCGGGACACGGAGCUGUUCGCCUACGGUGGCUGUGGACCUGUGGGAGCGCAAUUUUGGUGUGAGUUCAACCCACGUGUCUCAAGAAUAGUGUCAUUGGUGGGGGCUUGGACCCAGGUCUGCUGUGCUUAUGAAGACUGUGUGUCUCGGUGGCGCAAUGGAGAGAGACGCUGUCUGAUGAUAAUUCAACCUCAUCUGAGAUCUAGCAACCUGGGUUCAAGUCCUGGGGACUUCAACUGAAAAAUCGACGCUUCCAACUUCAUCAGACGAAACAGUAACGUCUGAACAAUUGGCUUCUCGAACAACGGUUCAAACUACAACAGCAGAGCCAUUGACUUCUGCAUCCAUAGUUCUGACUUAAACGGAUGGAACAGUGACGUCAUGAUGACCAAUAAAAAAUGACAGCAUCACCCCUUGUGAUUUCUUAGAGAACUAAUGACAUUUUAUCAAUAAUUUAUUUUAUAAUUGAUAAAACACAACAGUGUUACCCCUUAUGUUUUUAAGAUAAGAAAACACCAGUGUUUUCCCUUAAGUUUGAAUUGAUAGAAAACAAACGUUUUUUUACGAAGAAUACAGUGUUACACCUUAUGUUUUUUUUCACGACGACCAAUAAAAACGACAGUGUUAGUCUUUUAGUUUUUUUUCAUUACGCCCGAUAAAAAAGAAGACAGCGUUACCCCUUAUGUUUUUAAGCAAAAAAAACACCACUCUUGCCCCAUCAUUGGUUCGACCCGUGGUUCAAUUCAUCAGACUUAUCCGUUUCACCGGUUCGUCAGGGCCCAUGAGAUUGGUCUCGAUAAUGUUGUGUCCUUUCCUCUGUUUCUACGGUUGUUGAAUUCGGCGGAACAGCUUUACAUCUGAAUAGUAAUAUGAAAAAAGAAGGUCAGGUUAUGCAAAGGACUACAAUGACGAGCAUCAAAACAGUCAGCACUAUAACAACGCGUGUGAAUGUUGUCACCAAUUACAAUUUUCCAUCACAGUAUGCUUGGUACCUUGCCAAGGAGGCACCGUUUGACUUCACUGUUGUAAGUAGGCAUUACAUUCAAUGAAAAAAGAGCUGACGAUUGAAAAGAUACGUUUAAAAUAAGAAUUGGAUUUUUGACAUAAGGUUACAAUAUCGAAAAAUUCAUACUUGUAUGCAUAUUUUAUCAUUGUCAAUUCUCUGAAUAACCCCUUACUUUAGAAAGACAUGCCUGUCCUCAGAAAAUGGUGGUGCACAGUACUGCUUGAGAACUUCCAUCUGGAUGGGGAUGUUUUUGUUUAUUUCAAAUAUGAAUAUAUACCUCAACCCCAAUAUUAACAAAAUAUGUAUAAUUCCUACAAUCAUUUCUCUUUAUUUAUACAGGCACGGCAGAAGGUUCCCACACUUCAUGGAGGAGGCCAAACAAAUGGCGGCUGGACUACUUCCACCAGUCUCCAGACAGAGGCGAAAAAGAGAAGUGAAUGACGUUUCCAGUGACAGAAUACAAAUAAUAUAUAGUAUAGGCUUAAUAUUGAUUUGACUGUUUGAUUUGGAGCUGAUGGCAGUUCAUGAAGAAGCUAUAUCUUUAGGCUUCUGUAGAUUAUUUGUUAAAUAAAUUGUGAGGAAACUGGUGUGGUUAUUCUUCAAUGUAUAUUUAUAUCAAAUUAUGAUGAUAUACUUUACAAAAAAAUACAUUUAAUUCUAUUAGACAAAUUACUUAAUUCUAAUGGUCAAUUACUUAAUGAGUAAAGUGUAUAAUAAACAAUUCCAUAAAAUAAUUGUCUACACCCUAAAUCAGUUUAUUCGUCUAAAUAACGUUAAGAAAUUGAGUUAUAAAAAAAGCUUACUGACAUGUCAUAAUAUUGUUUUAUUCUAAUAAGUUUAAGAACGCAAAGAAAAAAUCCUGAGGUAUUUGUCUAAAUAACGUUAAACCUUUUUUAAGCUCUAAAAAUGGUUACUAACGAGUCGAAAUAUUUUUUUAUUUCUAUGUUUUGUUAAUUCAAGCGAUAAAUAUAUUUAUUUGUCUAUAGAAAAAAUUAUCUGAGGUAACUUGCGUCCAGCCACAGUACUUCUGUCCCGCCUGGGUGGUGUUCUUUCAUGCCAGGGUGUUCUCCGGGGCUGCAGUUGGAUACUAUUGGAUUUCUGUGGCAAGGAAGGCGAAAUCAUAGGAGAUGAACUUCGGUUGAGAUCUUUGAACAGAAAACUAUUCAAAAAAUGAAUAUGCAUAGAUAAAACGAGUAUAGCAACGUUAGACUUGCCUGCAAAUCAAAAUAUAUGCUGCAACUCAAUACUUGCGUUUAAAG